GUAACGAGCGAGACCCACGUCCACAGUUGCCAGCAGUACCCUCCGGGGUGAUGGGUACACUGUGGAGACCGCCGGCUGCUAAAGCGGAGGAAGGAGUGGGCAACGGUAGGUCAGGUAUGCCCCGAAUCUCCCGGGCUACACGCGGGCUACGAAUGGUUGGUACAAUGGGCAUCUACCCCGAAAGGGGAAGGAAAUCUCUUAAAGCCAAUCGUAGUUCGGAUUGAGGGCUGCAACUCGCCCUCAUGAAGCUGGAAUCCGUAGUAAUCGCGUUUCAACAGAACGCGGUGAAUACGUCCCUGCUCCUU
Molecule: ribosomal RNA, 305 nt
Filed under: uncultured Methanosaeta sp.
Lineage: Archaea; Methanobacteriati; Methanobacteriota; Methanomicrobia; Methanotrichales; Methanotrichaceae
Description: bacterial SSU rRNA
Rfam family: Archaeal small subunit ribosomal RNA
Source: RNAcentral